This 255-nucleotide ribosomal RNA is filed under the name uncultured bacterium. RNAcentral's name for it is "partial 16S ribosomal RNA". It matches the Rfam family "Bacterial small subunit ribosomal RNA", at positions 524 to 776 of the family's 1533-position model. The record is from RNAcentral.
UACGAAGGGGGGCUAGCGUUGCUCGGAAUGACUGGGCGUAAAGGGCGCGUAGGCGGCUCAUACAGUCAGGCGUGAAAUUCCUGGGCUCAACCUGGGGACUGCGCUUGAGACGUGUGGGCUUGAGUGGGGAAGAGGGUCGUGGAAUUCCCAGUGUAGAGGUGAAAUUCGUAGAUAUCAGGAGGAACACCAGUGGCGAAGGCGGCUUUCUGGACGGUAACUGACGCUGAGACGCGAAAAGCGUGGGGAGCAAACAGG